AAAGAUCUAGUUUAUUAUACUCAAACAUUGGAUUGUCAGUCCAAAGAUAUUUAUCUUUG
This 59-nucleotide transfer RNA is filed under the name Trichuris trichiura (human whipworm). RNAcentral's name for it is "tRNA-Asp". Lineage: Eukaryota; Metazoa; Nematoda; Enoplea; Trichinellida; Trichuridae. The record is from RNAcentral.